UACGUAGGGGGCAAGCGUUGUCCGGAUUUAUUGGGCGUAAAGAGCGUGUAGGCGGCUAGUUAGGUCUGUUGUGAAAACUCGAGGCUCAACCUCGAGACGCCGAUGGAAACCAUUUGGCUAGAGUCCGGAAGAGGAGAGUGGAAUUCCUGGUGUAGCGGUGAAAUGCGCAGAUAUCAGGAAGAACACCCGUGGCUAAGGCGGCUCUCUAGUACGGUACUGACGCUGAGACGCGAAAGCGUGGGGAGCAAACAGG
This 253-nucleotide ribosomal RNA is filed under the name uncultured bacterium. RNAcentral describes it as "partial 16S ribosomal RNA". It matches the Rfam family "Bacterial small subunit ribosomal RNA", at positions 524 to 776 of the family's 1533-position model. The record is from RNAcentral.